GGCCCAGUGGCCUAAUGGAUAAUGCAUCAGCGUUUGAAGCUGGGAAUUGUGGGUUUAAGUCAUAUUUGGGUUG
Molecule: transfer RNA, 73 nt
Filed under: Danio rerio (zebrafish)
Lineage: Eukaryota; Metazoa; Chordata; Actinopteri; Cypriniformes; Danionidae
Rfam family: tRNA
About the family: Transfer RNA (tRNA) molecules are approximately 80 nucleotides in length. Their secondary structure includes four short double-helical elements and three loops (D, anti-codon, and T loops). Further hydrogen bonds mediate the characteristic L-shaped molecular structure. tRNAs have two regions of fundamental functional importance: the anti-codon, which is responsible for specific mRNA codon recognition, and the 3' end, to which the tRNAs corresponding amino acid is attached (by aminoacyl-tRNA synthetases). tRNAs cope with the degeneracy of the genetic code in two manners: having more than one tRNA (with a specific anti-codon) for a particular amino acid; and 'wobble' base-pairing, i.e. permitting non-standard base-pairing at the 3rd anti-codon position.
Source: Rfam by way of RNAcentral